Molecule: ribosomal RNA, 429 nt
Filed under: Triticum aestivum (bread wheat)
Lineage: Eukaryota; Viridiplantae; Streptophyta; Magnoliopsida; Poales; Poaceae
Description: partial small subunit ribosomal RNA
Source: RNAcentral
AUGGGGUACCUUUCAAGUGUACCAAAAAGUUCUUUGUUAGUAAGGAAUCAAAUGCUGGAUAAUUCAUUUCUAAUAGAUACUCGAAUGAAAAAAUUCGAUACCAUAGUCCCCGCCACUCUCCUCAUAGGAUACUUAUCAAAAGCUCAAUUUUGUACUGGAUCAGGGCAUCCUAUUAAUAAACCCAUUUGGACAUAUUUAUUAGAUUGGGAUAUUCUUGAUCGAUUUGGUCGGAUAUGUAGAAAUCUUUUUCAUUAUCAUAGUGAAUCUUCGAAAAAACGGACUUUGUAUCGACUAAAGUAUAUACUUCGACUUUCAUGCGCUAGAACUUUAGCUCGUAAACAUAAAAGCACGGUACGAACAUUUAUGCAAAGAUUGGGUUCGGCAUUUUUAGAAGAAUUUUUUAUGGAAGAAGAGCAAGUUUUUCUGUGA